AGCGUAGACGGAAUGGCAAGUCUGAUGUGAAAGGCCGGGGCUCAACCCCGGGACUGCAUUGGAAACUGUCAAUCUAGGGUACCGGAGGGGUAAGUGGAAUUCCUAGUGUAGCGGUGAAAUGCGUAGAUAUUAGGAGGAGCACCAGUGGCGAAGGCGGCUUACUGGACGGUAACUGACGUUGAGGCUCGAAAGCGUGGGGAGCAAACAA
This 208-nucleotide ribosomal RNA is filed under the name uncultured bacterium. RNAcentral describes it as "partial 16S ribosomal RNA". It matches the Rfam family "Bacterial small subunit ribosomal RNA", at positions 568 to 775 of the family's 1533-position model. The record is from RNAcentral.